This 492-nucleotide ribosomal RNA is filed under the name uncultured bacterium. RNAcentral's name for it is "partial 16S ribosomal RNA". It matches the Rfam family "Bacterial small subunit ribosomal RNA", at positions 29 to 507 of the family's 1533-position model. The record is from RNAcentral.
AGUGAACGCUGGCGGUAGGCCUAACACAUGCAAGUCGAACGGCAGCACAGUAAGAGCUUGCUCUUACGGGUGGCGAGUGGCGGACGGGUGAGGAAUACAUCGGAAUCUACUUUUUCGUGGGGGAUAACGUAGGGAAACUUCCGCUAAUACCGCAUACGACCUACGGGUGAAAGCAGGGGAUCUUCGGACCUUGCGCGUUUGAAUGAGCCGAUGUCGGAUUAGCUAGUUGGCGGGGUAAGGGCCCACCAAGGCGACGAUCCGUAGCUGGUCUGAGAGGAUGAUCAGCCACACUGGAACUGAGACACGGUCCAGACUCCUACGGGAGGCAGCAGUGGGGAAUAUUGGACAAUGGGCGCAAGCCUGAUCCAGCCAUACCGCGUGGGUGAAGAAGGCCUUCGGGUUGUAAAGCCCUUUUGUUGGGAAAGAAAAGCAGCAGGUUAAUACCCCGCUGUUCUGACGGUACCCAAAGAAUAAGCACCGGCUAACUUCGUG